ACAGGCACCCGCCACCACGCCCGGCUAAUUUUUUUUUUUUGUAUUUUUAGUAGAGACGGGGUUUCACCAUGGUCUCGAUCUCCUGACCUCGUGAUCCGCCCGCCUCGGCCUCCCAAAGUGCUGGGAUUACAAGCGUGAGCCACCACGCCCAGCCGCCUAUCUCUAACUUUCUUUUUUCCUCCAAAGAUUAAUGUUUCUGGUGAUUUGGAAAAUAGAUACAACUUUCCAAGCUCUGAGCCCAGAGCGAAACAUAGUGUGAAGAUCAGAGCUGCAGACGUCCGCAUCCUGAAUUGGAGUUCCUGGAGUGAAGCCACUGAAUUUGGCUCUGACGGCAGAAACCUCAGCUCUGUGUGCAUUUACAUGCUCCUGAUCAUGGGAACCCUUGUCUGUGGCCUCAUCCUUGGCUUCCUCUUUAAAAGGUUCCUUAGGAUACAGCAACUGUUCCCACCAGUUCCACAGAUCAAAGACAAACUGAAUGAUAACCAUGAGGUGGAAGACGAGAUCAUCUGGGAGGAAUUCACCCCAGAGGAAGGGAAAGACUACCGCGAAGAAGUCUUGACGGUGAAGGAAAUUACCUGAGACCCAGAGGGUGUAGGAAUGGCAUGGACAUCUCCGCCUCCGCGACACUGGGGAAUUGUUUUCUUGUUGAUGAUGCCGUGAGCUUUUUUGUCAUUUUCUAUGUUUUUAUUUAAAAACAUGAUAUUUGGGGCCAGGCACGGUGGCUCACGCCUGUAAUCCCAGCACUUUUGGGAGGCCAAGGCGGGCAGAUCACCUGAGGUCAGGAGUUCAUGACCAGCCUGCCCAACAUGGUGAAACCCCAUCUGGACUAAAAAUGCAGAAAUUUACCCAGACGCGGUGGCGGACGUCCAUCAUCCCAGCUACUCGUGAGGCUGAGGCAGGAGAAUUGCUUGAACCUGUGAGGCGGAGGUUGCAGCGAGCCGAGAUUGCGCCAUUGCACACCAACCUAGGUGACAGAGCAAGAUUGCAUCUCAAAACAAAUAAUAAUAAUAAAUAAUAAAUAAUAAAAACCUGAUAUUUGGCUGGGCGCCGUGGCUCAUGCCUGUAAUCCUAACACUUUGGAGGAUUGCUUGAGACAGGAGUUUAAGACCAGCCUGGGCAACAUAGCAAGAUCCCAUCUCUACAAAAAAUGCAAAAAUUAGUUGGGCAUAGUGGCUUGUGCCUGUAGUCCCAGCUAUCUGGGAGGCUGAGGUGGGAGGAUCACUUGAGUUCAAGCUGACAGUAAGCUAUGAUUGCACCCCUGCACUCCAGCCUGGGUAACAAACUAAGACCCCAUCUCUCUGUCUCAAAAAAAGUGAUAUUUCGCAAAGAUGCUUAGACUCCAAGAAGCUUUUGCAUCUUCUUCCAACCCAACCACUGAGGCACUGUCUAGCCUCCUCCUUAAAUAACUGACCUGGUGAGCUGAGAUUGCAUCAUUGCAAUCCAGCCUGGGCCACAAGAGCAAAACUCCAUCUCAUCUAAAAAAAGAAAAAAAAAAAAUCAUGGCCGGGCACGGUGGCUCAUGCCUGUAAUCCCAGCACUUUGGGAGGCCGAGGCAGGCAGAUCACAAGGUCAGGAGAUUGAGAGCAUCCUGACUAACAUGGUGAAACCCCAUCUCUACUAAAAAUACAAAAAAUUAGCCGGGUUUGGUAGCAGGCGCCUGUAGUCCCAGCUACUUGGGAGGCUGAGGCAGGAGAAUGGCGUGAACCCAGGAGGCGGAGGUUGCAGUGAGCCUAGAUCACACCACCACA
Long non-coding RNA from Symphalangus syndactylus (siamang), 1748 nucleotides. RefSeq lists it as uncharacterized. Lineage: Eukaryota; Metazoa; Chordata; Mammalia; Primates; Hylobatidae. The record is from RefSeq and is a predicted model, not a curated record.